RNAcentral lists this long non-coding RNA (1399 nucleotides) under Manacus vitellinus (golden-collared manakin). Its description in RNAcentral is "lncRNA (ENSMVIG00005006070.1)". The record is from RNAcentral. Lineage: Eukaryota; Metazoa; Chordata; Aves; Passeriformes; Pipridae.
CCAGAAUCAAUUAAUAUGCUUUGCAGAAAGUGCAGGGGAAGCCCGAGCUGCUGUCAGCGAGCAGGCAGGAGGCUGAGGGUGACUCAGGAUCCCACUCCCACCUGACACCCAUUUGGUCCCACCCCAUCUUCUCCAAACACUCCAUUAGCCAUCAUUCUUUCCCCCUCUCUCCUUCCCUAUGAUAUUUAGUGCGUGUGUCCCCAAAUCCUUCAGGCAAAGUACCGUCUUGCUCAAGAAACCUUCUGCUUUGAGGGUUUUGGUUUUAGAUUUGAUUUGUAUUUUUGGGUUAUUUGUCAAACCUCCAAUACUUCUCUAGAAAUUCUAAUAUUUAUGUUCUUUGGGAAGGGAAGGGAAGGGGAUAGCUGAUGUUUUUGUCAGACAGUUUAAAAGAUGUCUCAGGAUGAAAAGGGUUGUUUGGUAGUACACAGUUGAGCAGCAGCAAUGAAAAUGCAUCAUGUGUGAAUUGGGAAAGUUUUUGCCUCUCCGUUUAUUACAAAUCAUCAGCACUGGAUAUAUGAGACCAAAGAGUCCGUCUGAUGACACCACGAAUCUGGGAAUGAAGAACUUCUUAGAGCUGAUUGGAAAUGGCAUUACGGAGCUGAAACUUAACUGGAGGAAAUAUAUCUCCUGAAGAAGAAAAUAUAAUGCACUAUAAGGAUCUGACUUCUGGUGAAAAAUUCAAGCCUAGAGAAAACUUGUCCGCUUUGUUAGGAAGAAUGGGUUGGACAAUUUUCUUCAGUUCCAAAGGAUAUCUGAAUGCCAUGCUGAGCUUAAUCUCUGCAGCAUGCUCUGUGCUUCUCAUCUCUUCCUGAUGCACUGCAUGGUUAUCCUGAAGGGGACGAUAAAGAAACUGGCCACCAAGAUGGUAAUCACUAGUGGAAAUGAAGAAGAUAAAGGGAGUCAAGAAAAGGAAAGCAAAGAAGAAACCAUCUUGGCAAUGCUUGGAAUUAUUGGGACAAUUCUGAACCUCAUUGUGAUCAUUUUUGUGUAUAUUUACACAACGUUGUAAACUAGAAGGCAUGCAAAUAGACCAGAUAAAAUGGCCAUUAAGAAUGACAACAAACAUUGCUGACUAUUGACAAGUUCUUUAAUCAGAAUUGACUCUGUAUUAUAUUAACACAUCAUAAAAGCACUGCCUGCAGGCAGCGAAGACUGAAGCACAAUUAAUUUAACAAGACUUUUUCACACAGUAAUAAGCUUAACUCUUCUAUCCUGCCCUCUCCCUUUCGGUUUGGUUUUCAGUUUGGGGGAGAAUGACUGCAGUUAUGUAAGCUGUAGCUUUGAAGAAAUCCACCAGGGAUAUGUUGUUUUAACACAAUUUAAAAAAAAAAAAAAAAAGAAAAAAUAGAAAGAAAAAAAAGAAAAUAAAGAAACUGUACACUAUAUAUAAUUAGAAAUG